Molecule: long non-coding RNA, 1066 nt
Filed under: Danio rerio (zebrafish)
Lineage: Eukaryota; Metazoa; Chordata; Actinopteri; Cypriniformes; Danionidae
Description: long non-coding RNA NONDRET012357
Source: RNAcentral
UUGUGUUUUAUCCGAGUUAACGUGAGCUGUUAUGUGGCUUUAGCGUCUUUCGCAGAGUAAGUACAGUGUUACGUUCUUGUUGUGUUAAGGACUGUAAUAGUAAAUCACACGAUCGAAAAGGUAAUAAAUGAUCACGACGACAGAUAUUUUAAAUUUCCCGCUCGGAAGAAAGGAUAUUGACGGACUGUAGCAGUAACAACAGACGCAUCGGGUGUCCUGGCCAGCUGCAUUAAGACGCAAAAUAUAUCUUCAUUUCUCCGUUUAUGCUCUUAACAUUAUCACAAAGCCAAGCUGCAUAUGAGAUGAUGGAGACUGACCCAGACUGAGCAUCAUCUCUACAUCUGGGCCACACAGAAACUACACAGACAGACACUGCACACUCUGCAAGACAAACUUAGAGGAGGGAAAGAAAACCAACACUGCAGUCAGCUAAAGAUGUGGACGACCAACAUGCUGAGAAGGAGACACUUGAGGUUGAAGAUGGUGAGAGAUACUGAUGAGAAGACACACAACACUAAGGGGGUAGCUGAGACAAACUGAAUGUAAACUGUGUAUGGACGCGUGUAAAAAUAAACCACCUGUUGGAGGAAAACUGACAGCUGCUGUGUGAACUUGAAGGAUACAGGAUGUCUGAUGGAUUUUGUAACAAGAAUGAUGCUAAAGUAUCAAACAGUAAAAAAAACACACAAAAUCUUAAUAACAAGCACUGAGCCAUAAACAUGAUACUCCCUGGUGAAGGUAAAGAUGUCACAUUACAGCAUAGGAUUGUCAAACAACUGUCAAACAAAGCAACGUUCACUUGUAGUGUAGAAGAGCUGUAGAUGUCAAUAAGAGUAAAAGCCCAGGUGUAUAAAUGGUUUUUGUGCAUAAUUGAUACAUUAUUUAAAAAAAUUCCUUUACAUUUUUGUAACUUUGUUUUCUUUCACUGUAUGUAUGACUGUUUUGCUAAUGUUUCAUCCUGUCUUAUGUAAACAGUAUGGGGCAUUCCUCUAGAAAUGACUUUUCCCUCAGUGCCUGAAUAAAAUAUCAAUUGUAUAAAUGUAAAAAAAUGGAGGUUGACUUAAAA